CUUCCCAGCGCUCCUCGCGCUGUGCGCGGCGCGUCCUCUCGCCGGUGACCCGGUGUGCGUGGGGUCGAGGCGCCGGGCGGAGCGGCUCCGGGCCGAAACGCCAUGCGGAGGGGCGAGCGCAGGGACGCCGGGGGUCCGCGGCCCGAGUCCCCGGUGCCCGCGGGCAAGGCCUCGCUGGAGGAGCCGCCUGACGGGCCGUCUGCCGGCCAAGCCACCGGGCCGGGCGAGGGCCGCCGCAGCACCGAGUCCGAGGUCUACGACGACGGCACCAACACCUUCUUCUGCUGCGACCCUGGGCUGGCCCUUUGCCGAUGCUCCUCUGUGAGAAGGAUCAAGCCGUCGACCUGAAAGCAGGCUUCGUGAGAGGAGGGUUUGGCUCUUCUUGACUGCAAGGCGAGCCCACACCUUAACCGUGCUCUUCAUCCUCACCUGUACGCUUGGCUACGUGACGCUGCUGGAGGAAACACCUCAGGACACGGCCUACAACACCAAGAGGUAAGCUGCCCUCUCGUCCUGCCUUCUGAAACUGCCCUGUGCCCCGUGUGGUGGGUGUGGCACCCUUACUGCUCGGGCUGCCGGGGGCUCAGAAGGCCUUCACCAGAGGGCUGCGUGGGGCCGCCAGCCUCUCCCUUUAGUGUGUCUGACGUGCAGACUCCGGGGCUGCCCUUGGUGCUGCGUGGCGUUCCCGGUCAGCCCCCGUCACCUGUCACUGGGAGCCAGGAGUCUGUGUCAUCUCCACGUGACCGGCAGCCUGUGCUGCGUUUCCCCUGAGUUUUGCAUGUUGAGGUUGGAAUGAGCUGCAGCAGCUACAGGGCUGAGCCCUUGAGUUUGGGCGUCUCCGGGGGUGAGGUUCCUGCGGUGGCCGUGUGCUGGUUCCGUUAGCCAGCAGGGCUCUUGCACGGACAGGGGCCGAUACAGACCGCAGACCAUCUGGCCAGCAGCCAAGCGAGUAAACUCGUCUUCUCAGGUUUAUCUCCACAGGCAGGCAGGCUAGACCUUGGGUGUGUCCUCUGCCUGAAUUCCAUGGAUUCUGACGCCAGUCUCAGAAGUGCGUGUGGAAGAGAAGCUGGUUUUAGAGCCUGUGAAUCAGUCUUGAGUUUUCUGUGCCUGACUCUCCUCUCGCGUUGCUCUUCCGACGCGCGCACAGGGUGUGUCUGCCCAGGGCUGCCUCCUGCCCAGCAAGGCUGCUGACACCAUCAGGGCCUGGCCCCACUUGCUCCGGCGGGAUGGUGGGAGGAAGCCGGAGCAGAGUCUGAGA
RNAcentral lists this small RNA (1258 nucleotides) under Pan troglodytes (chimpanzee). Its description in RNAcentral is "retained intron". The record is from RNAcentral. Lineage: Eukaryota; Metazoa; Chordata; Mammalia; Primates; Hominidae.